RNAcentral lists this unclassified non-coding RNA (263 nucleotides) under plant metagenome. RNAcentral describes it as "partial contains small subunit ribosomal RNA, internal transcribed spacer 1, and 5.8S ribosomal RNA". The record is from RNAcentral.
UUUCCGCAGGUGAACCUGCGGAAGGAUCAUUAUUGUAUAACCGAGGUGCGAGGGCUGUCGCUGACCCGAAAGGUCGUGCACGCCCGAGUGCCCUCACACACAUCCAUCUCACCCCUAUGUGCACCACCGCGUGGGUCCCCCUUUGGCUUGUUCGGAGGGGGGCUUACGUUUUCACACAAACUUUGUAUGCAGUGUAGAAUGUAUUUUUUGUUUUUGCGAUCACGCAAUCAAUACAACUUUCAACAACGGAUCUCUUGGUUCUG